Molecule: transfer RNA, 65 nt
Filed under: Ectophasia rotundiventris
Lineage: Eukaryota; Metazoa; Arthropoda; Insecta; Diptera; Tachinidae
Description: tRNA-Ile
Source: RNAcentral
AAUGAAUUGCCUGAUAAAAGGAUUACCUUGAUAGGGUAAAUUAUGUGAUUAUGUCACAUUCAUUA